UACAGAGGUGGCAAGCGUUGUUCGGAAUUACUGGGCGUAAAGGGCGCGUAGGCGGCCAUCUAAGUCAGACGUGAAAUCCCCCGGCUUAACCUGGGAACUGCGUCUGAUACUGGAAGGCUUGAGUAUGGGAGAGGGAUGUAGAAUUCCAGGUGUAGCGGUGAAAUGCGUAGAUAUCUGGAGGAAUACCGGUGGCGAAGGCGGCUACCUGGCCCAACAUUGACACUGAGGCCCGAAAGCGUGGGGAUCAAACAGG
This 253-nucleotide ribosomal RNA is filed under the name uncultured bacterium. RNAcentral describes it as "partial 16S ribosomal RNA". It matches the Rfam family "Bacterial small subunit ribosomal RNA", at positions 524 to 776 of the family's 1533-position model. The record is from RNAcentral.